GCCAGGCAUGGUGGCACAUGCCUGUAAUCCCAGCUACUCGGGAGGCUGAGGCAGGAGAAUUGCUUGAACCCGGGAGGCGGAGGUUGCAGUGAGCCCAGAUUGUGCCACUGCACUCCAGCCUGGGUGACAGAGUGAGACUCUGUCUCAA
Molecule: non-coding RNA, 148 nt
Filed under: Homo sapiens (human)
Lineage: Eukaryota; Metazoa; Chordata; Mammalia; Primates; Hominidae
Source: Rfam by way of RNAcentral